GUGGGGAAUCUUGCGCAAUGGGCGAAAGCCUGACGCAGCCAUGCCGCGUGAAUGAUGAAGGUCUUAGGAUUGUAAAAUUCUUUCACCGGGGACGAUAAUGACGGUACCCGGAGAAGAAGCCACGGCUAACUCUGUGCCAGCAGCCGCGGUAAUACAGAGGUGGCGAGCGUUGUUCGGAUUUACUGGGCGUAAAGGGCGCGUAGGCGGCCGCGUGUGUGGGGUGUGAAAUCUCCGGGCUCAACCCGGAAAGUGCGCCCCAAACUGCGCGGCUGGAGUGCGGGAGUGGAGAUCGGAAUGCAGGGUGUAGCGGUGAAAUGCGUUGAUAUCCUGCAGAACACCGGUGGCGAAGGCGGAUCUCUGGAACGCAACUGACGCUGAGGCGCGAAAGUCGGGGGAGCAAACAGGAUUAGAAACCCUUGUAGUCC
Molecule: ribosomal RNA, 425 nt
Filed under: uncultured bacterium
Lineage: Bacteria
Description: partial 16S ribosomal RNA
Rfam family: Bacterial small subunit ribosomal RNA
Source: RNAcentral